UGAAAUCAAAUUUCUUAUUCAUAUAAGAAUUUGUACAAUCUGUUCAUAUAUAUUAAAAAUACACAGUCUUCAUAAACAAUCUGUACAAUCUGUUCACUACAUUUGAACACAGGACAACUAUCCUACAUUUGAACACAGGACAACUAUCCUACAUUUGAACACAGGAAACCUAUCCUACAACCAUCACCAUCAAUUUGAACAAACAUCUGAAUUCCCUUUCAGGUUUCUUC
RNAcentral lists this long non-coding RNA (230 nucleotides) under Vigna radiata. RNAcentral's name for it is "long non-coding RNA (VRAD_LNC000063)". Lineage: Eukaryota; Viridiplantae; Streptophyta; Magnoliopsida; Fabales; Fabaceae. The record is from RNAcentral.